Molecule: ribosomal RNA, 484 nt
Filed under: uncultured bacterium
Lineage: Bacteria
Description: partial 16S ribosomal RNA
Rfam family: Bacterial small subunit ribosomal RNA
Source: RNAcentral
AUUGAACGCUGGCGGCAGGCCUAACACAUGCAAGUCGAGCGGAUGAAGGGAGCUUGCUCCUGGAUUCAGCGGCGGACGGGUGAGUAAUGCCUAGGAAUCUGCCUGGUAGUGGGAGAUAACGUCCGGAAACGGGCGCUAAUACCGCAUACGUCCUGAGGGAGAAAGUGGGGGAUCUUCGGACCUCACGCUAUCAGAUGAGCCUAGGUCGGAUUAGCUAGUUGGUGGGGUAAAGGCCUACCAAGGCGACGAUCCGUAACUGGUCUGAGAGGAUGAUCAGUCACACUGGAACUGAGACACGGUCCAGACUCCUACGGGAGGCAGCAGUGGGGAAUAUUGGACAAUGGGCGAAAGCCUGAUCCAGCCAUGCCGCGUGUGUGAAGAAGGUCUUCGGAUUGUAAGGCACUUUAAGUUGGGAGGAAGGGCAGUAAGUUAAUACCUUGCUGUUUUGACGUUACCAACAGAAUAAGCACCGGCUAACUUCGUG